Molecule: ribosomal RNA, 429 nt
Filed under: Gemmatimonadota bacterium
Lineage: Bacteria; Pseudomonadati; Gemmatimonadota
Description: Gemmatimonadetes bacterium partial 16S ribosomal RNA
Rfam family: Bacterial small subunit ribosomal RNA
Source: RNAcentral
UAGGGAAUCUUCGGCAAUGGACGAAAGUCUGACCGAGCAACGCCGCGUGAGUGAAGAAGGUUUUCGGAUCGUAAAACUCUGUUGUUAGAGAAGAACAAGGACGUUAGUAACUGAACGUCCCCUGACGGUAUCUAACCAGAAAGCCACGGCUAACUACGUGCCAGCAGCCGCGGUAAUACGUAGGUGGCAAGCGUUGUCCGGAUUUAUUGGGCGUAAAGCGAGCGCAGGCGGUUUCUUAAGUCUGAUGUGGAAGCCCCCGGCUCAACCGGGGAGGGUCAUUGGAAACUGAGAGACUUGAGUGCAGAAGAGGAGAGUGGAAUUCCAUGUGUGGCGGUGAAAUCCGUAGAUAUAUGGAGGAACACCGGUGGCGAAGGCGGCUCUCUGGUCUGUAACUGACGCUGAGGCUCGAAAGCGUGGGGAGCAAACAGG